Humulus lupulus (European hop) is the source of this 1795-nucleotide long non-coding RNA. RefSeq lists it as uncharacterized. The transcript has 5 exons. Lineage: Eukaryota; Viridiplantae; Streptophyta; Magnoliopsida; Rosales; Cannabaceae. The record is from RefSeq and is a predicted model, not a curated record.
UACAUUGUGAUAGGGUUAAGGUGAGAUGUAAUGAGAGGAAAUGAUAGGAUUUAGGCUUAUUUGGUGGGAGAGGAUUUUAGUUUUCACACUAGAGUUUAUCCUUAUGGUUAGGUCACUAAAAUUUUAUGAAAAGAAGAAAAUGUGAGCCUUGGAGAAUCAUUUUGGUGGGUAUAAAAAUAUUGAAAGAAAGAGGCGGAGGAGAGCACGAAAAAGAGAAAUAAAAAUAGAGAAAGAAGGAGAAGAGGAAGGGGUUUCAAGAAUCUCUAGGUGCCUAAGGAUUGAUUUGCUUUGUGUUCUUGAACACUACAAAGAAGGUAGACACUAGGUAGACUUUUUUGGCACGCAUGGUGAACUGAGUCAGUUUUUCAUAAGUAUGUAUGUAUGCUGUGGGGAGCCAUUGAACGAGAAAAUGAUCUGGAACGCCAUAGUGCCUAAGAGUCUUUCAUUAUGUUAAUUUAUCAGUGGGGUGUACUUAUUUAUUUUUAAGACUGCAUCAAAUUCUCUUUUGUUUUGAACAUUGGAUCCAAUCUCUGCAUCUAUUUUAGAUAAAGACCCACUGUAUUUUCAGUUAGAUUAUGUAAUCUAUGAAGUUAUUAUGAAAAUUAUAAUUUUAAUAGAGAUAGGAAAUUAGGGGCGUUAUAAAAUGUUAUCAGAGUUAGUCGUUCAACUCUUGGCUUCAAGGAAUCCCUCAACAUACAUAUUGAAGACUGGGCAACAAACAUGACUCACAGUGUCUCAUGCCUUCUGAGGAAGCCUUUGACAUAUACACAAACGGCAAAGCUCUAGCAAGCAAAAAGCGAGCAAGCAAGAGGCACCCUGUUGAGAGCAGCAGUGAUCCCUCCAAGAAAAAAGCUCGAAUAGAGGACCCUCCAGCGCCCACUCCUUCCAGGACCAUGACACCUCCUCCUCUUCCUUGCAAUAUCCUUACCCCCGAGCAGGCGGGGAGACCUUCGGCCAACUACCUGCUGAGUGGCGCCUACCAUGCUACCCACUAGUUGCAAAGGCUAUCGAAGCAGCGCCGUAGCCAGGAAGAUUUUUUGCAUCUCCCUCCGCUACAGAACAUCCAGAUAAUCAGUCGCAGACUGUUUGAUGUUCUCAAUGGUAUCCUGACCAUAGGGCAUAGCUAGCGUCGAGCUGAGGAGACUGAGGCCAGAUUUGCCAUGGAGAUCAAGGCAGCUGAGGCUAGACAUGCCAAGGAGAUCAAGGCGGCCAAGGCCAGACAUGUUGAGGAGAAAAAGGCUGCUGAGGCUAGAGUUGCCAGUCUUAUCGAGGAGUUAAGGAAGUGCCAAGAGUCGGUGGCCAAAGUUAUUGCCGUCAAGGAGAAGUUUAUGGAGGCUUCAGAGAUUAACUUUAAAGAAGUAGCCAAGCUUCAAGAUGACUUGGUGAUCAGCUGGAGGAGCGAGUUAAACUGCUCGAGGGAACCAACUCUUGCAAUCUGGAGAAGUUCAAAGGAGCGACCUUUAAAUGCUUCUGCUUGUUCCAGAAAAAAAAUCCAGAGGUGAAAUUCGACUAUCUUCCCGAGCAGGUAAAGUAGGCUAAACUGGAAUAGUGUGACGCUCGUCCGACGAAGGAACAGAAAUCUCCGAAAUCCCCUAAAAUCUCCUUGGCGAUUGGCACCGAAGCUGUUGAAGAGGAUCCGGGGACCUCAAUCCCAACCAGAUCAUUCUGCUGCUCAGUGAUUUAAAUAAUCUAUUUUUUUGUAUAUAUUUGUAUCUGGAACAUGCGAACUACGGUUCGUAAUGUUGAGACAAUUUUGCUGCUCAAGGCAGCUUUCCUUUUAAUUUAUUAAUUACAU